GUCCACGCCGUAAACGAUGGAUACUAGCUGUUGGAAGCAAUUUCAGUGGCUAAGCGAAAGUGAUAAGUAUCCCACCUGGGGAGUACGUUCGCAAGAAUGAAACUCAAAGGAAUUGACGGGGGCCCGCACAAGCGGUGGAGCAUGUGGUUUAAUUCGAUGAUACGCGAGGAACCUUACCAAGGCUUAAAUGUAGAUUGACCGUUUUGGAAACAGAACUUUCGCAAGACAAUUUACAAGGUGCUGCAUGGUUGUCGU
This 255-nucleotide ribosomal RNA is filed under the name uncultured bacterium. RNAcentral describes it as "partial 16S ribosomal RNA". It matches the Rfam family "Bacterial small subunit ribosomal RNA", at positions 793 to 1055 of the family's 1533-position model. The record is from RNAcentral.